This 742-nucleotide long non-coding RNA is filed under the name Heterocephalus glaber (naked mole-rat). Its description in RNAcentral is "lncRNA (ENSHGLG00100051355.1)". The record is from RNAcentral. Lineage: Eukaryota; Metazoa; Chordata; Mammalia; Rodentia; Bathyergidae.
AACUAAAGAGAGCAGUUCCAGCACAGUCCAGAAAGCCACCCGGAACUAGAGGAGGAGGAGGAGCAGUAGAAGUAACCCAAAAUGGCUCCUUACCCGAUGCAUGGCACAGUGGGGCAGCACAGGCCCCGGCCACUCGGAGAUGACGGUGAUUAUGUGCAUGAAAUGGAAAUCUGCAUGACCCCGAGGAAGCAAGUCCACAAAAUCUGUGACCCAGAGAUCACUUAAAGGACACAGGAGGGUGUGUGAUGCUCUGCCCUUUUAUACAAGGGACUUGAACUUCUAGGAACUCUGGGGUCCAAGAGGGAACUGAACCCCCACCAGUACUGAGCAAUGACUGCAUAAGACAAUUUCUCUAAGCAGCACUCAUAUUCUCGUGCCUUCCUAGAAUAGAGGAUGAUAAAAAUAAGCAUAAUUUUCAUCGUGAACAAGAGGCCAAAUUCUUCCACAUCCGAUACUAACAUUUGGAUCUUCGGGGCUCCUGGGGGAGCAGAAGUGCUGGUGUCCGUGUCUGCACUCACUGAAUUCCUAGGUUGGUGUUUAAGUUUUUCAGGCUACCCUGUCAGUGCCUGCAUUCCACCUGUCCAACUCUCAACUCUUUUAAGGCGGUGGCUCUAAUUUGCUCCCACCUUGGAAAGCGCGCACACACACACACACACACACACACACACACACACGUGUUAGGAGUGUGAGAAGAGUAGGACGACCUAGAUCUGACCUCAAUGGCAGGCUGGGUCCUGGUUAG